This 250-nucleotide ribosomal RNA is filed under the name uncultured bacterium. RNAcentral's name for it is "partial 16S ribosomal RNA". It matches the Rfam family "Bacterial small subunit ribosomal RNA", at positions 355 to 621 of the family's 1533-position model. The record is from RNAcentral.
UAGGGAAUUUUCCACAAUGGACGAAAGUCUGAUGGAGCAACGCCGCGUGCAGGAUGAAUGCCUUCGGGUUGUAAACUGCUUUUAUCUGUGACGAUUAUGACGGUAGCAGAUGAAUAAGGAUCGGCUAACUCCGUGCCAGCAGCCGCGGUCAUACGGAGGAUCCAAGCGUUAUCCGGAAUUACUGGGCGUAAAGAGUUGCGUAGGCGGCAUUGUAAGUUAGUAGUGAAAGCGUGUGGCUCAACCAUACUCA